This 75-nucleotide antisense RNA is filed under the name Actinokineospora bangkokensis. RNAcentral describes it as "ASpks TB sRNA". It matches the Rfam family "ASpks TB sRNA". The record is from Rfam by way of RNAcentral. Lineage: Bacteria; Bacillati; Actinomycetota; Actinomycetes; Pseudonocardiales; Pseudonocardiaceae.
CUUCACCGAGCCCAGCCACAGCGGGUCCCCGCCGCUGCGGUCCUGGCCGUAGGUGGCCAGCAGCGCCUGGGCCUC